AAGGGGUGUAAAAAGUAAUAUGAAGGUGAAAGGAAACAAAACAAAAUGGGCUUACUAGCCCAUCAUACAUAAAAAAAACUAAUUAAUUUUUAUCAACAAACUUAAUUUUUUUUCCUUUCUUUUAUUAUUUUCUUUUUACUUUUUCUUUUCUAUCGUAUUUUUUUAUUUUUUUUAUUUAAUUUUGAAUGUUAAAUUUUCUAAUCUUCUAAAAUUGUAUUAUUCAAUUAAUAAAUUUUAUUCAUCCAAACAAAAUUGAGUAUUAAAAUAUUGCAAAUUAGAGAAAACAAAAACUUGACAAGUCAUGGGUAAUGUAUUAUGUACACAUUUAUAAGCCUUUAUACAGUGUUAAUGAGUUAGGCUGUUGAUACUCUCUUCAAAAACA
RNAcentral lists this long non-coding RNA (382 nucleotides) under Vigna radiata. RNAcentral describes it as "long non-coding RNA (VRAD_LNC001243)". The record is from RNAcentral. Lineage: Eukaryota; Viridiplantae; Streptophyta; Magnoliopsida; Fabales; Fabaceae.